This 3139-nucleotide ribosomal RNA is filed under the name Craterium roseum. RNAcentral's name for it is "Physarum roseum partial 28S ribosomal RNA". The stretch from base 1 to 1828 matches the Rfam family "Eukaryotic large subunit ribosomal RNA", at positions 2257 to 3401 of the family's 3401-position model. Lineage: Eukaryota; Evosea; Eumycetozoa; Physariida; Physaraceae. The record is from RNAcentral.
GAGUAACUAUGACUCUCUUAAGGUAGCCAAAUGCCUCGUCAUCGUAAAACACAAAACGGCUCUGGCUGGCACCGGCACCCUCGACGGGGGGCGCCACCGCCGGCUGGGUCUAUACGCGGGAAAAAGGCGGCUCUGGCUGGCACCGGCACCCCCUCGGGGGGCCACCGCUAAGCUGGGGCUGGCUCCAGCCGGCACCGGCGCCCCUCGGGGCGCCACCGCUGACUGGGGUUACCUUACAAAGGCGGCUCUGGCCGGCACCGGCACCCCUCGGGGGGCCACCGCUGAGCUAAGGGCUGACUCCGGCCGGCACCGGCACCCCCGACGGGGGGUACCACCGCUGGCUGGGGUUACCUUCGAAGGGCGUCUACGGCCGGCACCGGCACCCCUCGGGGGCCACCGCUGAGCCGACGUCUUUCUAAAGCGCGAAAUGCCGUCAUUGACAAUGCGGCUUCGUGCCCAGUACCGAAGGCCUCGCUUUGCCCUCGCAUCACCCAGUACCUUCCUAAUUACGGGUCGGGGCCGGUGCUCUCGUGGGGGGGAAUAGGUCUUUAGCGUCAAAUUGCGUGGAGGGUAGGGCUUUCCACACUGCCGAAAGGCAGGAGAGCCCAGCAACCCGACUAGCAGCCAAGCCCCUUGCUGGCUCCCCCUCCCUCGGGGGGGGGAUCGGCCUGGGGAAGGUCCAGAGACUGAAAGGCGCGAAGGAAAGACACAGUCCACCGAACAUAAAAUGCCCUGGGAACAGUACGGGACGGGUGGCUUGCACCGGCUUCGGCCGGGAGCAUUGGCCAGUGGUCUCAUCAUUACUCGAUACCAGCGGCUACCGGGCUCUCGACGCCCCCAACCCCCUUCCAGCGGGCCUCGACUUUCCUGCCGGGGACUGGCCCCCUCUGCAUCCGUGCAAAGGGGGGACCGGGACGAAGGCGGGUCUCCAUCGGGGUCCAGGUGAGGGGGGGGGCCGGGGCGGUCUUUGGACGCCGCGAUUCCAGGCCUCCACGACCUGCUUAAUGCNGGGUCUAUCGGGUGGUGCGUGUUUCUGCGGCUCCAGAGCGGGGGCCCACCCUCAGGUGUUAAUUUGUGACGCGCAUGAAUGGAUUAAUGAGAUUCCCACUGUCCCUACCUACUAUCUAGCGAAACCACAGCCAAGGGAACGGGCUUGGCACAAUUAGCGGGGAAAGAAGACCCUGUUGAGCUUGACUCUAGGCACAAACGCGAGGUGAUUCUAAAGGUGUAGCAUAGGUGGGAGGGCACAGCCCGACCUUGAAAUACCACCACUUUCGACAUUGCUUUGCUAAUGCUGUAACGAACAAACGGCCCCCUGGUUCCCCGUCCGCAAGGGCGGGUGCCGGGUAAGGUCAUAUUCUAGCGUUUUCCGGGUUCACACGAUGGCUUGGCUCCUCUGGGUGAGUACUCUGGGACCACAAACUGGGCCUCCGGGUUCGGUGCGUGCUGCUUCUGGGGGAACCAGGGAUGGUUGGGCUGUCCUCUGUGGGCGAAUAUCGGUAUGUAAGCCGUGUAGCAGACCAUUUGUGUUGGGGAGUUUGGCUGGGGCGGAAAACUGCUACACGGCAACGGCAGUCUCCUAAGGUCCACUCAGAGACGACAGAAACGUCUCGUAGAGCAUAAAGGNAAAAGUGGGCUUAACUCGCAUUUUCAGUAGUAAUGUGAAGCAAGAAAUUGAGGCUUAACGAUCCUUAGCGGCGGGUGCCAGCCCACGCUUGAGGUGAGAAAAGUUACCACAGGGAUUGAGGCGCCCCCCCCCCUUCCAAACCUUCCGAGCAGCGGGAGGGGGAGACCAGGCAAAUCGAAGGUACUUUCUCAGGGGAGGCGUAGAGCGGGGCGAUCUAUGGGACGAGGGGGCUUCACCUGGCCGGGAGGAUGGGGGCGGUAAUUCGCCUCUGUCCAUGCCCCCGCGUUCCGCUGACUGCUUUGUUCAAAGGCGACGGGUUCCGAUUGACGACGAAAGUCCAGCUCGGGGGAGUAGCGCAGAUUUCCCCUGGGCACGGGCGACGCACCUAGAUGCUACGACGGUCUCCAGACGGCUGAACAAACUGGGCCUAUACGGGGCGCUUUAUCCUUGGUGGUGGGGGGGGGUUCGCCCCUCUCCCCCCUCGGUGUCGGCACCUCAUGGCCUGGGCUCAGGGCGCUUUAUCCUCGGUCCCUCCCCUCUCGGGGGGAGGGCCUUGGUGUCCGGCGCCUCGGGAUGAACGCCACGACGGAACGGCGAGGGUACCAACGAGGCGGGUCUAACCCGCUUCCAAAACUGCUUCUCUCGCCAGCGGGAGAGGCGGGAGGUAAUAAUCCUUCGUUCGGGGCUUAGUAGCAGGCAACGAGGCCAUCCAGCCUACAGCACGAUAAGGGGGAGAGCAGCCUUCAGUGGCGGCCGAGCCCGACUGUGCAAAAGGCGGGUACAAACGAUGGUCAAGUGUCUCAGUGACUGGACGGGUGUGGGCUUAGCUGGGCGUCCGCGAGACGACGGGAGGGGGUGGCGCGGUGGGGUGCAGGGCGGGGAAGGGUUCGUCCCCCCAGCCUGAAUCCUCGCUGCAAAGCCCCGCCUAUCCGAGGCGGCUAGAUUCCCGGCUCAGGCUUAAUGAACAGUCUAACCGAUCCCUCAGUAGCACCGCCCUCGCCCUCGCCCUCGCCCCAUCCGUGGGGAGAGGAAAGGGGCAAUAACGGGGGCACCGCGAAGCGGGGAUUCCUCGAUCCGACAACCCACCACUGCAGGGCCGGAUCGGGGGGCAGUCGAAGGCGGGGCGGACUCCAGGGGCUCUCGGGCUCCAAAGGGGACUGCCCUGCCGGGGAAGCGGGGAAACGCCCUGAAGGCCUCGUGCCAGAAGGGAAGAUCCUCGUACCGCCCGGGACCAUGAGGGGGGGGGGGGAAAGGGCAACCGAACCCCCCCCCAUGUUUUAAGCCUAGGGCCGAGGCUGUGGACUUAGCCAUUUUUCGAAAAAUUCGUACUUAUGAAAUUUUCGGCACAAAAAUGACUCAAUACGGGGAAAAAAUGACUCAAUACGGGCUGGUAGGCGUAUUAAAUCAGGCUUUGGCAGCAGUUUCCACCACUCCCCCCCAUGCGGACGGGGGGGUAGCCCAGUGGUCGAAGUGAACUGGCUUGUGGCUGCCAAGCGUUCAUAGCGACGUAGC